This 491-nucleotide ribosomal RNA is filed under the name uncultured bacterium. RNAcentral describes it as "partial 16S ribosomal RNA". It matches the Rfam family "Bacterial small subunit ribosomal RNA", at positions 29 to 507 of the family's 1533-position model. The record is from RNAcentral.
AGUGAACGCUGGCGGUAGGCCUAACACAUGCAAGUCGAACGGCAGCACAGUAGUAGCUUGCUCUUACGGGUGGAGAGUGGCGGACGGGGGAGGUAUACAUCGGAAUCUACUUUUUCGUUGGUGAUAACGUAGGGAAAGUUACGCUAAGACCGCAUACGACCUACGUGGGAAAGCAGGGGAUCUUCGGACCUUGCGGGAGUGGAGGAGCCGAUCUCGGGGUAGCUAGUGGGCGGGGUAAGGCCGACCAAGGCGGCGAUCCGUAGCUGGUAUGAGAGGAUGAUCAGCCACAUUGGAACUGAGAAACGGUCGACACUCUGACGCGAGGAAGCAGUGGGGACUACUGGACAAGGGGGGAAAGCCUGAUCCAGCCAUACCGCGUGGGUGCAGACGGCCUUCGGCUUGUAAAGCCCUUUUGUUGGGAAAGAAAAGCAGUAGGUUAACCCCCCGCUGUUCUGACGGUACCCAAAGAAUAAGCACCGGCUAACUUCGUG